AAGGAGACAGGUGGUGCAUGGUUGUCGUCAGCUCGUGUCGUGAGAUGUUGGGUUAAGUCCCGCACGAGCGCAACCCUGUGGUUAGUUGCCAGCAAGUAGCGUUGGGCACUCUAGCCAGACUGCCGGUGAUAAAUCGGAGGAAGGUGGGGACGACGUCAAAUCAUCAUGCCCUUUAUGUCCUGGGCUACACACGUACUACAAUGGCCGUUACAACGGGAAGCGAAGGAGCAAUCCGGAGCAAAUCCCUUAAAGGCGGUCCCAGUUCAGAUUGUGGGCUGAAACUCGCCCACAUGAAGGCGGAAUUGCUAGUAAUUGCAGAUCAGCAUGCUGCAGUGAAUACGUUCCCGGGCCUU
Molecule: ribosomal RNA, 353 nt
Filed under: uncultured Oscillospiraceae bacterium
Lineage: Bacteria; Bacillati; Bacillota; Clostridia; Eubacteriales; Oscillospiraceae
Description: bacterial SSU rRNA
Rfam family: Bacterial small subunit ribosomal RNA
Source: RNAcentral